This 533-nucleotide long non-coding RNA is filed under the name Phoenix dactylifera (date palm). RNAcentral describes it as "long non-coding RNA (PDAC_LNC022360)". The record is from RNAcentral. Lineage: Eukaryota; Viridiplantae; Streptophyta; Magnoliopsida; Arecales; Arecaceae.
GCCCAAUGUAGCCAGCCAUUUGGAGGUCGCCACCUCCUCCUUUGGGGAGGUCCUACUGUCAAUAGAGGGGAUGGACAGCUGGCUGCUGGAAGGGACAGCUGCCAGCAGCUUGAGCAGUUACCAUCAUUUAAGAAACCCCAAACCCCCCUCUCUGUCCUCCUCCUCCUCCUCCCACAGAACGGAGUCUGAGUCUCAGAACCGUCGGCCUAGGCGUUGAAGCAAGGAUCGUCGCUAGUACUCCCCAGAAGCUAGGUAAGCCCCAUGCCUUCUCUUCUCCUGAUUUAUUCAGAAUAACAAAGAAAGAAACAAAGAAAGAAACAAAGGAAGAAAGAAGGGAGGAAGGGGGCUGCUGGCAGGCCGAGGGCCACCGGCGACGGCCACCGGCUUCGGCCGCGAUUACUGUCGGCACGGGCGUCGGCUGCUGGCAGGCCGAGGGCGUGGCCGCAGGCUCAGCCGCAGGCACGGCUGAGGACGCCGCGAGCCCGGCCACGGGCACCGCCGGCCAUGGCCCGGCCCUCCCAAGCGCGCUUCCG